GUUAUACGCUGAGCUCUUCAUUUCUGAGCAUUGUUUUUUUGCCUAGAAGCAAAAUGCUGCGUGCGUUGGGGAUGUUAUUGAGAGCAGAUGAAAGGCUUCCGGACUAGCUUCAGGAAAAGUUGGCAUCCUGACUUGACUGAUGGGAUGUUAACAGCUCCGAAGAAGAAGAAAAUCCAUAUGCCAAAGCAGAGGAAGAAUGUUGGAUGAAGCAUGGAAACAGGAUAAUGACUUCAAUACUUCAGAUGCUUCAGAUCGUGGAAUGUCUGGGACUAUCAAAACAUACAAUAAAUACAGCAGUCAUAAUCAGAAACAUUUUGCUUUAGCAUGUAAGCAAUUAUUUCUAUAAAAUCAUUGAUAUUCUUAGGAUUUAACAGGCAUGGUUGGCAAAUUUAUUUACAUCUUUCCAAUGUUUUAUGCAUUUGUUGUUCCAGCUUCAUCUUUGCUAUUUCUGUUCCCUUGUCUUUCUUGAAUUUAUGAUUAAUGUUUCUUUAGACAGCAAAUAGUUAUGCAAAGUCAUAGCAUUUUUGAGAAAUAAAAUAAGUCAAUAAAAUGUCA
This is a long non-coding RNA of Dromaius novaehollandiae (emu), 555 nucleotides long. Lineage: Eukaryota; Metazoa; Chordata; Aves; Casuariiformes; Dromaiidae. The record is from Ensembl.